GGUCGCCUACGGGAGGCAGCAGUGGGGAAUAUUGCACAAUGGGGGGAACCCUGAUGCAGCGACGCCGCGUGGGUGAAGGAGUACUUCGGUACGUAAAGCCCUAUCAGCAGGAAAGAAAAUGACGGUACCUGAGUAAGAAGCCCCGGCUAACUACGUGCCAGCAGCCGCGGUAAUACGUAGGGGGCAAGCGUUAUCCGGAUUUACUGGGUGUAAAUGUAGCGUAGACGGCCAGACAAGUCUGAAGUGAAAAUCCAGCGCUUAACGUU
This 266-nucleotide ribosomal RNA is filed under the name uncultured bacterium. RNAcentral's name for it is "partial 16S ribosomal RNA". It matches the Rfam family "Bacterial small subunit ribosomal RNA", at positions 333 to 616 of the family's 1533-position model. The record is from RNAcentral.